AGCUCCAAUAGCGUAUAUUAAAGUUGUUGCGGUUAAAAAGCUCGUAGUUGGAUCUGCGGACGUGGAGGACGGUCGCCUAAUCGGUGUACUGUCUUCCUGUCCUAUACUGUCUAGUUUUCCUUAGGUGCGCUUCACUGUGUGUCUAAGGUAGCUAGAAAGUUUACUUUGAAAAAAUUAGAGUGCUCAAAGCAGGCUUUUACGCCUGAAUAGUGGUGCAUGGAAUAAUGGAAUAGGACCUCGGGUCUAUUUUGUUGGUUUUCGGAGCAUGAGGUAAUGAUUAAGAGGGACAGACGGGGGCAUUCAUAUUGCGGCGUUAGAGGUGAAAUUCUUGGAUCGUCGCAAGAUGAACUACUGCGAAAGCAUUUGCCAAGAAUGUUUUCA
Molecule: ribosomal RNA, 381 nt
Filed under: uncultured eukaryote
Lineage: Eukaryota
Description: SSU rRNA
Rfam family: Eukaryotic small subunit ribosomal RNA
Source: RNAcentral